GACGAACGCUGGCGGCGUGCUUAACACAUGCAAGUCGAACGGAAAGGCCUGCUUUCCCUUGUGGAUUGCGGGUACUCGAGUGGCGAACGGGUGAGUAACACGUGAGUGAUCUGCCCCCAACUUGGGUAUAAGCCUGGGAAACUGGGUCUAAUUCCCGAUAGGACUGCAGGGUGGUGCCUGUGGUGGAAAACGAUUUUCUAGUGGUUGGGGAUAAGCUCGCGGCCUAUCAGCUUGUUGGUGGGGUAAUGGCCUACCAAGGCGGCGACGGGUAGCCGGCCUGAGAGGGUGGACGGCCACAUUGGGACUGGGAUACGGCCCAGACUCCUACGGGAGGCAGCAGUGGGGAAUAUUGCACAAUGGGCGGAAGCCUGAUGCAGCGACGCCGCGUGGGGGAUGACGGCCUUCGGGUUGUAAACUCCUUUCGACCGCGAGGAAGCCACCUGGUUGGAAGGGUGGUGACGGUAGUGGUAGAAGAAGCACCGGCUAACUACGUG
RNAcentral lists this ribosomal RNA (494 nucleotides) under uncultured bacterium. RNAcentral's name for it is "partial 16S ribosomal RNA". It matches the Rfam family "Bacterial small subunit ribosomal RNA", at positions 28 to 507 of the family's 1533-position model. The record is from RNAcentral.